Non-coding RNA from Hordeum vulgare subsp. vulgare (domesticated barley), 136 nucleotides. NCBI's taxonomy places the organism in Eukaryota, Viridiplantae, Streptophyta, Magnoliopsida, Poales, Poaceae. The record is from Rfam.
UAAGUACUCUCUCCGUCUCAAAAUUCUUGUCUUUGAUUUGUUUAGAAAUGGAUGUAUUUAAAUACUAAAACAUGGCUUGAUACAUUCAUAACUAGAUAAAUCUAAGACAAGAAUUUUGGGACGGAGGAAGUAUGAU